GCUGCUGGGAAAGGGCCGUCACUCCUUGGGACAGGGAGGAGUGUCUAGAGGCUGCAGAGACGAGUAGGCUCUCCCAGCUUCAGGUCCUCGGCUGUGCCCCACCAAUGGCUGAACAGUUGAGCUGAACCAGUAUUCAGGGAUGUAACAGAGUGGCUUGCCUGAUGCACUGGAGAGCUUGGAACUAAGCCAGCCUUGGUGACAGGAUGGGCUCCACCUGAGAGGAAUCAGGUGAUCCUAAUACAAAAGGAGCAGGCAGUUGCAGUGAAGAGGGAAGCCCAAGAAGCUGCAGCUAGAGCUGUACACACUGUGGAGAGCAAGAAGAGUCCUGCAGGGCUGAAGCUCAAGAGACAGGAAAGAGGUGUCAAGUGAGCCCUGAAGAUGUCACCAGGAGCCUGAGACUUGCAGUGUUUACAACCCAGUGAAAAGCAGAAUGUGUAAGAAAUCUUGUUCCUGUGGGCUUUCCGGCAGAGUUUCUAGGCCAAAGAUGUUCAGCCUCUUCUGAAGCAUGUGACACUGACCACUUUCAGAGACAAGAUGGUGGACUGAUCCAGUCUGAUCCAGUAUGGCAAUUCCUAUGUUCCCAAGACAUAGUCCUGCCCCAGAAUAGCUGACUGCAUGAGGCCCUGAUGAUCCGGCAAGCUGAUCCGUGGAGGUGAAUCCCUGCACCUGUGCUGAUCCCCGUUAUAGUAAGCACACAUUUUAAGUGAUCAAAUUUUAAUAGUGAAAAAUCAAUGUUCUUUCCUGGAAACCAUGGGAAACUGAAGUCAAGCUGAGAAAUACCACCAUUUACCCAGCAUUCUUGUGAGCUUGUGAAGAAAAUGAGGCACUGUGUUUUUGCACAAUUUGUAAAAUCUACCCCUCUUUUUCAUGUGGGAACUUAGGGUCCAGUCCUGUUCUGACUGAAGUCAAUGGCAGUUUUGAGUGUGACUAGGGUCUUAACUUGAUCCAAGAAGACCAGCAACCUAAAUCACUGAUUCAGAAAGGGGGGAACUAUUGCCCGUUCUGUACUUUCUAAGGACUUGCAUGAAGACAUAUUGAAAAUAAAUGAGUUUGUCAGUGGAGGGCAGGCAUUGUCUAACCCAUGUCUGAAUCAGAUAAAUUAUUUCUCAGCCAUCUGCUGUACACUAGAUGGCUCUUUUGUGGAGUGGCACA
Long non-coding RNA from Chelonia mydas (Green sea turtle), 1152 nucleotides. RefSeq lists it as uncharacterized. The record is from RefSeq and is a predicted model, not a curated record. The transcript has 3 exons. NCBI's taxonomy places the organism in Eukaryota, Metazoa, Chordata, Testudines, Cheloniidae.